Molecule: long non-coding RNA, 451 nt
Organism: Perca fluviatilis (European perch)
Lineage: Eukaryota; Metazoa; Chordata; Actinopteri; Perciformes; Percidae
Exons: 3
Source: RefSeq, a predicted model, not a curated record
GCGCCAUUGAAGGAUUGGAGCAGCACUGAACACAUUUCAUAAUCAAGAAGACCCAGCCAGCCACCUCUUCACCUGAGGGAGAAACUGCCCAGCCCUGUCUUCCCCCAGUCAAAUAACCAUUCCAUGUGGCAGCAGCAUGUGGGUGGACAAGUUCCAGGUGCCUUGGGAAAAAAUAAGGCCCCUUUCUUACCAUUGAUGCUGGAUGUUGGAGACAUACCAGGAAGAUGCAGUGGCUCUGGUAGCAGUGGUCAAUGAGGAGCAAGAGCCUGCAGGAAUCACCUUUUUCAAACUCACCACGUCAUUCAUACUCAACCAUCAGGUUUUAAUGUGUCACAGACCUUGGAUAGAUAUUCUGAUGAUUUUGUUUGGCGUUAUUUAUGUUUUCCAAUUAAGCUACCUUAAAAAGCUUAGUGUUUUUUUUUUUUAACUUCAUCCAGAGGUUUUGUAGUAU